RNAcentral lists this ribosomal RNA (555 nucleotides) under Nephroma bellum. Its description in RNAcentral is "eukaryotic LSU rRNA". The stretch from base 210 to 364 matches the Rfam family "5.8S ribosomal RNA". The record is from RNAcentral. Lineage: Eukaryota; Fungi; Ascomycota; Lecanoromycetes; Peltigerales; Nephromataceae.
AAGGAUCAUUAUUAAAGUCACAAGGGGGUCACUAGACAUCCCCGGGGGCGUGAUGGUCCAGUACUCUUAGGGUAAUUCCGAGAGUACCCCAUCCGUCUUAUUUUACACCCCAUGCGUACCUAAACGUUAAGCUGGCUUUGGCGGCUACACCCGUCCGGGGGACCUAAAACUCGAUAUAUCGGUGAUCUCGGAGUGAUACGAAUAACUAAAACUUUCAACAACGGAUCUCUUGGUUCUGGCAUCGAUGAAGAACGCAGCGAAAUGCGAUAAGUAAUGUGAAUUGCAGAAUUCAGUGAAUCAUCGAAUCUUUGAACGCACAUUGCGCCCUCUGGAAAUUCCGGAGGGCAUACCUGUUCGAGCGUCAUUUAACCCCUCAAGCCAGGCUUGAUGCUGGGCGUCGUCCCUUGGGCGUGCCUCAAAUCCAUUGACGGUCCAGGUGAUUUCCAGCGCAUUAAUCGACCUUUUCGCUUGGAACAUCACUUGACACCAGUCUCUGCAACCCUAAGAUUGACCUCGGAUCAGGUAGGGAUACCCGCUGAACUUAAGCAUAUCAAU